RNAcentral lists this ribosomal RNA (682 nucleotides) under uncultured archaeon. RNAcentral's name for it is "bacterial SSU rRNA". It matches the Rfam family "Archaeal small subunit ribosomal RNA", at positions 157 to 843 of the family's 1478-position model. The record is from RNAcentral.
UAGGCUACGGAUGCUGGAAUGCUCUGUAGCUCAAAGAAUUUAUCGCCACAGGAUGGAUCUGCGGCCGAUUAGGUAGUUGUUGGGGUAACGGCCCAACAAGCCUUUGAUCGGUACGGGUUGUGGGAGCAAGAGCCCGGAGAUGGAUUCUGAGACACGAAUCCAGGCCCUACGGGGCGCAGCAGGCGCGAAAACUUUACAAUGCGGGAAACCGUGAUAAGGGAACUCCGAGUGUCCGUAAAUGCGGACUGUCCGUAUGUCUAAAAAGCAUGCGAAGAAAGGGCCGGGCAAGACCGGUGCCAGCCGCCGCGGUAAUACCGGCGGCUCGAGUGGUGGCCACUAUUACUGGGCUUAAAGCGUUCGUAGCUGGGUUGUUAAGUCUCUUGGGAAAUCUACCGGCUUAACCGAUAGGCGUCCAAGGGAUACUGGCAAUCUAGGGACCGGGAGAGGUGAGGGGUACUUCAGGGGUAGGAGUGAAAUCCUGUAAUCCUUGGGGGACCACCUGUGGCGAAGGCGCCUCACCAGAACGGCUCCGACAGUGAGGGACGAAAGCUGGGGGAGCAAACCGGAUUAGAUACCCGGGUAGUCCCAGCCGUAAACGAUGCGCGUUAGGUGUAUCGAUGACCACGAGUCAUCGAGGUGCCGAAGGGAAACCGUGAAACGCGCCGCCUGGGAAGUACGGUCG